GCACACGAGCAGCUGGCAGUGCCCUCGGUGUCCCCAGGAAGUAGGGAAGCCUGCACAGACGGCUGGGCCGCGUGACUUCCCAGCAAAACCGUCAGGGUCCCACCCACCGGGUCCCUGUGCUUGAAGAGGGGUAGCAAGAAAUGCCCUGAGAGGCGGGGGCAGCGGAGCCAGGGGGCUCAGACUCUGAAUGCUGGCGCCCAGGGGCAGCACCGUGCGGAGGACGCCCGGCCGCGGGCGCGCAAACCGACUCCGCACGUCGCGGGGUGCCGCACAGGCCCAGGGAGCGGCGCCGGGGGCGGGGGCGGGGCUCUGGGGCCAGAGCGGACCCCGCCGAGCGCCGUGGCGAGAGGCCCGCGGGACAAGGCGCCCGCUUUCCUUGGCAGCGCCUGCUGCCCGCGCUGGUCUCGGGGAGUGUCAGCUGGAGGGUGGGGUUGACCGGGAAGUGAACAUGGAUGUGGUGCAGAGCAGAGCGCAGGCUGGAUGGAGCGUGAAGGUGAAAGUCGGGGGUUCAGGGAACGCCCGCUCCCAGUCGGAUGCCGGGCGCUCCCGCGGAGGGGCAUGGAGGACGCUGCCAGGCGGCAGGGCCCCGAGAGGCGUUCGAGGCGGAGACGCGGCAGGACCGGCUCUGCAUCUGCGGCACGGGGAGCGCCCACGCGGGGUGGGGAGGCCUACAGAGGCGCCCCCGGAGCUGGGCCUCGUUGUCACGGCUGGGAUUCCAACCGGGGAAGAUGGGGCUGGGAGCGGCCCUGGGCGGGCACCGCGUGAGCUUGGGAAGGAAGGCAGGCCCGGGACUCUGCACGAAGCCUGUGGCAGACGCGCUCCCGCGGAUCCCCAGGGACGCGGGGCGAGGCCGGGGCCGCCGCUUCCCGGGGAGGGAGGCCUGUGUGCUAGUCCUGCCUACGGAGGGGAGGCCACGCGGUCACGUCGGCCGGCAGCGUGGAUUUGACAUGCAGGGAAGAACUCGAACCCCAGGCCAGCUUGGACUCGCAGCCCUGCCUUUCGUGAACAUUGCACAACCUAUCCGACUGCCCCGUGCCUCACUUUUCUCCUCUGGGAAAUGGGGACGUUGUGAUACCAGGACACCUUGAAUGGGCCUGGCACACAGCAGAUGCUCAGUAAAGGUGGAGAAACUGGGCUCCGAGAAGCAAAGCGACUUGCUGAAGGCCACACAGCGAAGCAGAGCUGAGGCUGCUCACCAGGCAGACUCCAGGAUGAAGGGCUUCACCUACCGCCCCCUGUGCAAACAGCACUUCACCGGCAGUUUUCUGCAAAGCUCAUUGCCAGGGCCGGCUCCCCUUUGGGACAGUCUUCCCACAGUGAGACUGCAGGUGGCGGCAGCGGUCAUGUUGGGCUGCUCAGCCCCUGCUUUGCUGUACCGGGAAGAUCACAGAAAACCAGCCAGCAUGGACCCGGAGGAUUGCAGAGGGCAGAGAGCUUGGAUAGCCAGUGGCCACACGGGGGCCGUGCCUGGCUCAGGGGCCCUCCUCCCAGAGGUGCCGGGCUUGUGUGGGUGCGGCCAUGCCAGCCAGGCAGGGUCAGCAGGUUUCAACAAAUACAUCUGCAGUACCAUUUGAAUCUUUUAAACCAGGAACAUGUGUUGCACUGAUACAAAUGCAAAUUCAAUAGCAAAAGAACAAACAUCUUUACAAAUUUGACAGGUGAGAAGUGCUCCAUGGUUGCUUGGAUCUACAUUCCUUUAAUUUCUGGCGAGGACGUACAUUGCUCAAAUGUUUCUGCACCGUCUGUGUUUUCUCUAAGUCCUGGUGUCUGCUGCCAGGAAACAGAGUAAGGCUGGAGCCUGGCACGUGGGGGCAGACAGCUCUGCUUCCAAGUCCUGCUCUGCCAGUACCUGGGUGACCUCACACGGGGGGCUUCAUCUCCACUUUGCUCGCCCACAGACUGGAUGGUAAUAGCAUGCAGUCUUAGUCCAUUCAGGCUGCUUAAACACAAUGCCACAGACUCGGGGGGCUUAUAAACAACAGAAAUUUGUUUCUCAUGGUUCUGGAGGCGAGAAGUCUGAGAGCAGGCUGCCGGCAGGGCCUGGUGAGGGCCCUGUUCUGGGCACACUUCCUCUCUCAGGGGAAGGGGCAGGGGCUCUCUCUGGGGCCCCUUAUAUUAAGGCCCAUUUCAUGGGGAGAGGGUCUCUGCCCUCAUAACCUAAUUGCCUCCCCAAAGUCCCACUUCCUAACGUCAUCACCUUUGGGGGUGAGGACUUCAAUGUGUGGAUUUUGGUGAGACGAGGUUAGACAACAGCAAUGGUGACGUUUUGGUGAGUUGGGAUGGCAGAGGUUGUAGAAGUUUUUAAAGUGCUCUCACCUACAUCCUCUCAUUUAAUCUGCAUAGUACGGGUGUUGUUUUAACAUCUUUUUCACUAAGGACAGGAGACUCAGAGGGAUUGAGCAAGUUGCCUGUCACCCACUCUAUCGCUCUGUGGAGCUCACCGUGAAAACGUCUCUGACCCUGAACCCAGCCCUGAGCAGACCCAGGGGCCAAUCUCUGCCACUAGGUGUUGAAUUGGCCAUUCAGACCCCGUGAUUGGGUCUCUGUGGCAACUCUGUCUCUGAGUUUUGUUCAUUUCUUUUGAGACCUCCCUCAGGGGCCCCUGACUUCCUGCUCCCGUGCGGACUGGCAGCCCUCUCAGCCCACUGAACGGCUGUGGUUCUGGCAUUUUCCUUUGCUGUUACCCUGGGGACCCCCUUACUGCCUUGUGUUGGAUCACUGGUUUCUUAGUCCCCGGGUACCUUCUGUUUUGCAGCUCACCUCCUCAUUUUGGUAGAGCACAGCCUCUAAGGAGGCAUGGAGGUAAAUGUUACAAGACCUUGCAUGUCUUAAAGUGACCUUAUUCUAGCCUCAUGCUUGAUCGACAGCCCGAGAAUUGAAGUCUAUGUUGAAAACCAUUUUCGUUAGGAUUUUGAAGGCAUUGCUCUGUCGGCUUCUAGCUUGUACGGUUGCUGGAGAGAAUUCUGGAGCCAUUCUGAUUCGGAGUCUUUGUGACCAUUUCUUCCCGUUCUCUGGAAACUCUAGAAACAAUUUAUUCUAGUACCCAAUCAUUCUGGUACAUAAAGAUGCUGUGUCUUGG
Molecule: long non-coding RNA, 3079 nt
Organism: Manis pentadactyla (Chinese pangolin)
Lineage: Eukaryota; Metazoa; Chordata; Mammalia; Pholidota; Manidae
Exons: 3
Source: RefSeq, a predicted model, not a curated record